This 450-nucleotide ribosomal RNA is filed under the name uncultured bacterium. RNAcentral's name for it is "partial 16S ribosomal RNA". It matches the Rfam family "Bacterial small subunit ribosomal RNA", at positions 354 to 796 of the family's 1533-position model. The record is from RNAcentral.
GUAGGGAAUCUUCGGCAAUGGACGAAAGUCUGACCGAGCAACGCCGCGUGAGUGAAGAAGGUUUUCGGAUCGUAAAACUCUGUUGGUAGAGAAGAACGUUGGUGAGAGUGGAAAGCUCAUCAAGUGACGGUAACUACCCAGAAAGGGACGGCUAACUACGUGCCAGCAGCCGCGGUAAUACGUAGGUCCCGAGCGUUGUCCGGAUUUAUUGGGCGUAAGGCGAGCGCAGGUGGUUUAUUAAGUCUGGUGUAAAAGGCAGUGGCUCAACCAUUGUAUGCAUUGGAAACUGGUAGACUUGAGUGCAGGAGAGGAGAGUGGAAUUCCAUGUGUAGCGGUGAAAUGCGUAGAUAUAUGGAGGAACACCGGUGGCGAAAGCGGCUCUCUGGCCUGUAACUGACACUGAGGCUCGAAAGCGUGGGGAGCAAACAGGAUUAGAAACCCUUGUAGUCC